Long non-coding RNA from Penaeus monodon (black tiger shrimp), 680 nucleotides. RefSeq lists it as uncharacterized. The record is from RefSeq and is a predicted model, not a curated record. The transcript has 2 exons. NCBI's taxonomy places the organism in Eukaryota, Metazoa, Arthropoda, Malacostraca, Decapoda, Penaeidae.
CUGAAGUCACCGAGUCAAGAGCACCACCAGCCUCCGGCCCCCCAGAACUGGCUGGCUGGCAGCUCUUGCUGUUCACCAACAGCCUUUUACAGUCUGGUGGCGGCCGUUGGUAGUUGUGUACUUUUUGCUCGCAACAAGAACCGUCUCAAAAUCGUCGCUCGACCAACACUUCCAUGAUACGUCCUCAAAAUCACCGAGUUAAACUUGGACAAGGACUACUAGGAAGUCUAGAUGAAUCCGAAGUCAAGGAGGACCUGAGUGAGACCUUCGAGGACCCAUGAACAUCGAGGACAAAUGGAUUACAACAAAGACCAAAAAGAAAAGGAAGAGGAAGAGGACGACAAGGAUGGGCAGCCACGAGGAUGGAUCGAGGAUAUGAGAACAAGAUAGCCAGCCAGUUGAGAGGCAAAUCAAAUGGCACAUUUAGAACGAAGCACUAGCAUGCUAUGUCUAAGCAAUUUGCUCAAGAUGACGCCUGCAGACCAAAAGACUCUUUAUGGCGGUUUAGAACUAUCGGCCCCAUGGGAGCCUAGAUGAUGAUUAUACAGCAGUCAAGGUCACUACCAGCCUCCCGCUCUCCAACGCUGGCUGGCCGACACGACACUGCUCAGCAAUUGCUCCCAGAUACUAGUAUUGUGUUUCUCUAUUUGUACUCUUCGUCAAUAAAGAGUCAAACCGUA